GUAGGUGAACCUGCGGAGGGAUCAUUACCGAAUGGCCCUCGGGCCGUCGACCCUUCAAACCCGUGGAAGACAGAAGAUUGUGCUUCGACGCCCCGGCGUCGUGUUAAUGCAGUGCCCAGUCCGUCGUCUGAACAGGAAAUGAAUGAUUUAAAACUUUCAACAAAGGAUCUCUUGGCUCUC
Molecule: unclassified non-coding RNA, 180 nt
Filed under: rhizosphere metagenome
Description: partial ribosomal RNA internal transcribed spacer region
Source: RNAcentral